AUUGAACGCUGGCGGCAUGCUUUACACAUGCAAGUCGAACGGCAGCGCGGGCUUCGGCCUGGCGGCGAGUGGCGAACGGGUGAGUAAUACAUCGGAACGUGCCCAGUCGUGGGGGAUAGCCCGGCGAAAGCCGGAUUAAUACCGCAUACGACCUGAGGGUGAAAGCGGGGGAUCUUCGGACCUCGCGCUAUUGGAGCGGCCGAUGGCCGAUUAGCUAGUUGGUGGGGUAAAGGCCUACCAAGGCGACGAUCUGUAGCUGGUCUGAGAGGACGACCAGCCACACUGGGACUGAGACACGGCCCAGACUCCUACGGGAGGCAGCAGUGGGGAAUGUUGGACAAUGGGCGAAAGCCUGAUCCAGCAAUGCCGCGUGUGUGAUGAAGGCCUUCGGGUUGUAAAGCACUUUUGGCGGGAACGAAAAGGACUGUGCCAAUACCACGGUUCGAUGACGGUACCCGCAGAAUAAGCGCCGGCUAACUACGUG
Molecule: ribosomal RNA, 484 nt
Filed under: uncultured bacterium
Lineage: Bacteria
Description: partial 16S ribosomal RNA
Rfam family: Bacterial small subunit ribosomal RNA
Source: RNAcentral